UGCUAACAUGUCCUUCCCUCUCCACUCUAACCGGAGCGGUCAGGAGAUAAGGGGAUAGGUGAUCAUCGCGCUCCACUUUGGUCAUUGCAGAAUUAGCUAUAAUUUACGCAGAAGACCGUUGUCAGACUGACUAGAGACUCACUCUGCUCCGCUAGUUAUUUUUAUGUUGGCAUCGUGUUUUUUCUCGUACUCGUUAAUGUUGACAAAUUGAGAACAGCGGCAUUCCCAGUGUUUUGGAUUGUGCGUGGGGACCGUCUCUGCUUCUAAUCGACCCUCGCAACCCAUUGGAUCUCGAUAAAUACUUGCUACAAAGACAACGUUGAACCACGUUACCCAUAACAAAAUGAAUAGCAGCACGAUUGAAAAGGAGAGCGAGUCAAAUGAGUUCAAUAACCACGAAGAAGAGGUCCGAACACUAUUUGUCAGUGGGUUGCCGUUGGAUAUCAAGCCCAGAGAACUGUACCUCUUAUUUAGACCAUUUAAGGGUUAUGAAGGAUCCUUGAUCAAACUCACCUCCAAACAGCCAGUUGGGUUUGUCAGUUUUGACAGCCGAUCAGAGGCAGAGGCGGCGAAGAACGCUCUGAACGGUGUCCGUUUCGACCCGGAAAUCCCUCAGACGUUGCGGCUGGAGUUUGCCAAGGCCAACACCAAGAUGGCCAAGAACAAGCUGGUGGGCACUCCCAACCCCCCUCUGUCCCAGCAGAGUCCCGGCCCCCAGUUCAUCAGCAGGGACCCCUAUUCGUUGGCUCCCUCCUGCAGACGCCGCCCCCCAGGGAUGGAAGUCCAGGCAGUUCUGCUGAAAUCUGGGGUUCUGAUGUGUGAUGGGGGCGUACGUUGGUCUUGAAGGUGUUGAUGGGACUUCCGGAGUCCAGGAGGACGUUGGCAACACUGUGGACCGACGGCAACAACAUCUCUCUGAGCCUCAGGACCUUCAAGACCUCUGCCUCAAUCACACAUGCACCCUCCAGAGUAACCCCCCCCUUUCUCUUUUAUACUGUUACAUACUAGAAAUCUUCUGUUAGAAUUAUUGCUGUUGUUAUGAUAGUCAUUACUAUACGUGGAAGCAUGAUUUGCCAAAUAAAAUGCUGUACAUUUUAAAAUAUUUUGAAGAAAAAUACAAGUAUUUUUGUAUCAAGAAAAUGUUCCAACUUUUUUUGGUCACUGUAUUUUGAGUGUGUGAAGAUCCAUAUUUAAAAAGCAAAAGGUUUCCUCCUAUUUUUCUGGAGUUAGUCAGGGUGACAUCAGCUGUACAAGGGACAAUCACUGACAAACCAGGGUACAAACAGUAUGAGAAUUCAGUGAAUCAGGGGUGGUGAAGCAUGAUCUGCACACCAUGCCAUGUGGAUUUUAUAAACUCUUUCUGGGAUGCCAGUGUGGCAUCUUGGUUCACCUUGUAGCCAGGAGGUUCUAGGUUCAAGUCCCAGAUG
RNA transcript from Megalops cyprinoides (Indo-Pacific tarpon), 1427 nucleotides. It is a transcript of the gene named RNA-binding protein with multiple splicing-like, with no coding region annotated. The record is from RefSeq and is a predicted model, not a curated record. NCBI's taxonomy places the organism in Eukaryota, Metazoa, Chordata, Actinopteri, Elopiformes, Megalopidae. The transcript has 8 exons.